RNAcentral lists this ribosomal RNA (379 nucleotides) under uncultured eukaryote. RNAcentral's name for it is "partial 18S ribosomal RNA". It matches the Rfam family "Eukaryotic small subunit ribosomal RNA", at positions 592 to 976 of the family's 1831-position model. The record is from RNAcentral.
CAAUAGCGUAUAUUUAAGUUGUUGCAGUUAAAAAGCUCGUAGUUGGAUUUCGGAUGGGAUUUGCCGGUCCGUCGUUACGAUGUGCACUGGCCAGUCCUAUCUUGUUGUCGGGGACUAGCUCCUUGGAUUCACUUCCUGGGACUAGGAGCUGACGAGGUUACUUUGAGUAAAUUAGAGUGUUCAGAACAAGCCUACGCUCUGAAUACAUUAGCAUGGAAUAACACGAUAGGACUCUGGCUUAUCUUGUUGGUCUGUGAGACCAGAGUAAUGAUUAAGAGGGACAGUCGGGGACAUUCGUAUUUCAUUGUCAGAGGUGAAAUUCUUGGAUUUAUGAAAGACGAACUUCUGCGAAAGCAUUUGUCAAGGAUGUUUUCAUUAA